Long non-coding RNA from Perca fluviatilis (European perch), 410 nucleotides. RefSeq lists it as uncharacterized. NCBI's taxonomy places the organism in Eukaryota, Metazoa, Chordata, Actinopteri, Perciformes, Percidae. The record is from RefSeq and is a predicted model, not a curated record. The transcript has 3 exons.
ACACCUGGUAACACCUCACACCCUACAUCAGGUAACAUCUCACACCCUACAUCAUGUAACACCUCACACCCUACAUCACGUAACACCUCACACCUUACAUCAGGUAACACCUCACACCUUACAUCAGGUAACAUCUCACACCUUACAUCAGGUAACACCCUCACACCCUACAUCAGGUAACAUCUCACACCCUACAUCAGGUAACAUCUCACACCUUACAUCAGGUAACACCUCACACCCUACAUCAGGUAACACCUCACACCUUACAUCAGGUAACAUCUCACACCUUACAUCAGGUAACACCUCACACCUUACAUCAGGUAACAUCUCACACCUUACAUCAGGUAACACCUCACACCUUACAUCAGGUAACACCUCACACCCUACAUCAGGUAACAUCCUCACACCUU